GCAAAAUAGUCCAUACGGUUUAAAGGUACUGUUUACACGUGAACUGAUGUAUUGUUAAACAAAUUCGCAACGUUGAAAAGUUUAUUAUUAUGAGUUCAAUAAAAGAUGAAACUCAAGUUUGAUCAUAGAGGAACUUCAUCUGCA
Haliotis rubra (blacklip abalone) is the source of this 144-nucleotide long non-coding RNA. RefSeq lists it as uncharacterized. NCBI's taxonomy places the organism in Eukaryota, Metazoa, Mollusca, Gastropoda, Lepetellida, Haliotidae. The record is from RefSeq and is a predicted model, not a curated record. The transcript has 4 exons.